AUGCUUUUGUUUUCACGAGUUUUAUGUUUUUACUCCAGCUCCACAGAAACAGAAGAGCUAGUGCAUUUGUUUAAUGUCCCCAUUUUCCAUUCAUUUUCCUUUCAGACCUCACCUUGCUCUAGAAUACAGCGGCAAGGUAUGUACAUCCCAUCUUUCUCUUUGCUCCCUCUCCAGUCGUUAGAGCAAAUUCACAUUUCAUGGUGCUCCGGUGUAGACUUGAAAUUCUCUUGUCUCUGCAUCUUUCAGGCUACAAAGAUCCACCAGAGGGCCUUUGGUAAUGACCACCCGAUCACAGCCAGAAGCCUCGAGCUAAUGGCCACUGUCUAUGCUGAGAUUGGCAAGACUGAAUAUUCAGACUCCCUGGGUCAGUGUGUGUCUGCACUGUCCAAACGCUUAGCUGCUGCGGAAUCCAUCAGAGACUCAACCGUCAACUGUCUUCCUCAAUCCCACCGGGAGAAACACUCAGAGGUCCGCCACAGGAAGGACAUCCACCACCAACAGGAGGACACACCAAAAGCCAAGGUAACAAAUGGCAAAGUCCCCACCUCCAUUCUUAAGAGGCCGAGCCCAAACUACGGGUCAGACGCAGAACUGAACCACAGGAGGAAAGGCGAACGGAGGGUUCGAUUCCGAGAGCCAGAGACCACAGUACAUGAUAUCCCAUACUGUGACUGUUUAGGUGCCUACGAGACGACACCGUCCCGCCCCCACCUCGCCCUCUUCACUUGCCUCUUCCUGCUGAUGUCAUUCCUGGGUGUGGCCAUGUACUGCACAGACCGCCGGCGCCCACAGCGAGUGUGUGAGGAGCUGGAGGCCGCUUUGGCCGUCUACCUGCUGCACAUGAAACAGCUUCUGUGGGGUUGCUGGAUAUGGUUGACCAUGCAAUGA
This 888-nucleotide long non-coding RNA is filed under the name Scophthalmus maximus (turbot). RNAcentral describes it as "lncRNA (ENSSMAG00000002922.2)". The record is from RNAcentral. Lineage: Eukaryota; Metazoa; Chordata; Actinopteri; Pleuronectiformes; Scophthalmidae.